Molecule: ribosomal RNA, 497 nt
Filed under: uncultured bacterium
Lineage: Bacteria
Description: partial 16S ribosomal RNA
Rfam family: Bacterial small subunit ribosomal RNA
Source: RNAcentral
GAUGAACGCUGGCGGCGUGCCUAAUACAUGCAAGUAGAGCGAAGGGACGAGAAGCUUGCUUCUCUGAUGUUAGCGGCGGACGGGUGAGUAACACGUGGAUAACCUACCUAUAAGACUGGGAUAACUUCGGGAAACCGGAGCUAAUACCGGAUAAUAUUUUGAACCGCAUGGUUCAAAAGUGAAAGACGGUCUUGCUGUAACUUAUAGAUGGAUUCGCGCUGCAUUAGCUAGUUGGUAAGGUAACGGCUCACCAAGGCAACGAUGCAUAGCCGACCUGAGAGGGUGAUCGGCCACCCUGGAACUGAGCCACGGUCCAGACUCCUACGGGAGGCAGCAGUAGGGAAUCUUCCGCAAUGGGCGAAAGCCUGACGGAGCAACGCCGCGUGAGUGAUGAAGGUCUUCGGAUCGUAAAACUCUGUUAUUAGGGAAGAACAUAGUUGUAAGUAACUGUGCACAUCUUGACGGUACCUAAUCAGAAAGCCACGGCUAACUACGUG